UGCCUAACACAUGCAAGUCGAACGGAGCUUAGAGAGCUUGCUUUUUAAGCUUAGUGGCGAACGGGUGAGUAACGCGUAUGCAACCUGCCCUUCACAGGGGGAUAACCGGGAGAAAUUCCGACUAAUACCGCAUACGUCCUUUGGGGGCAUCCCCGGGGGAUGAAAGAGUUAUCGGUGAAGGAUGGGCAUGCGUGAUAUUAGGUAGUUGGCGGGGCAACGGCCCACCAAGCCCACGAUAUCUAGGGGUUCUGAGAGGAAGGUCCCCCACAUUGGUACUGAGACACGGACCAAACUCC
RNAcentral lists this ribosomal RNA (296 nucleotides) under uncultured Bacteroidota bacterium. RNAcentral describes it as "uncultured Bacteroidetes bacterium partial 16S ribosomal RNA". It matches the Rfam family "Bacterial small subunit ribosomal RNA", at positions 45 to 339 of the family's 1533-position model. The record is from RNAcentral. Lineage: Bacteria; Pseudomonadati; Bacteroidota.